AUGGCGCCGGUGAGCGUGUUGUUGCGGAGGUUGAGGACGCGAAGGUUCACGCACAGCGAGAGCGUGGCGGGAAGGCCACCGGUGAGCACGUUGCUCGGCGCCGAGAGCUCCUGGAGCGUGCCGGCCAGCGCGUCGAACACCUCGGGCAGCGCACCAGAGAAUGCGUUGAAGGAGAGGUCGAGGCGGACGAGGCCGGUGAGGUUGCGGAGCCCCAACGGGAUCUCGCCGGAGAUGGAGUUGGUGUGGAGGGAGAGGUACCGCAGCGACGUGGCGGCAAAGAGGUCAUCUGGGAGGGCGCCGGUGAUGCCGUUCCCGUCGAGCGAGAGCUCAAGAAGCGACCGGCAUUGGCCGAACCCGACAGGGAAGUCACCGGAGAGCCUGUUCAUGGACAGCCGCAGGACCCGCAGCCCCGGCGAGGACGCGCAGACCGCCGCGGCGUCCAGGGGUCCCUCGAAGCCGUUGCCGGACGCGUCGUACGCCGUGAGGUUCACGGCGCCGGGGAGCACCGGGUGGCUGCCGUUGAACGCGUUGUACGACACGUUGAACACCAGCGCCGCCGGGAGCUCGAGCCCGAGCCCGAUCGCGCCGGCGAGCGCGUUGGAGCUGACGUCGAGCACCUCGAGUCGGCGCAGCCGGAGGAGCGCGGGCGGGAGCGCGCCCCGCAGCGCGUUGCCGGAGAGGUUGAGCACGCGGAGCGCCGCCAGCCCGGCGAGCGACGCGGCCACCUCCCCCCGAAGCGUCCGGUUCGGCAGCACCACCCCGACGACGCCCGCGCGGCCGCAGAGCACGCCAGGCCACGCGCAGCAGCCGCCUUCAUCGUCAUCAGCGACGGCCGGCCAUCCAUCCACAGUGGCAUCAAGGCCCGCCGAGAACCCUCUGAGCGCGGCGAGGUCACCGGCCCCGCACCGCAGUGAUGGCUGCGCCGCGCCGCUCAGGCACCACGACAGCAGCACGAUCACCGGCAGCAGCAGCGCCGCCAGCGCACCACCUCUGCCUCGCCCCGCCAUUGCUAGCUAUUGA
RNAcentral lists this ribosomal RNA (1020 nucleotides) under Triticum aestivum (bread wheat). Its description in RNAcentral is "partial small subunit ribosomal RNA". Lineage: Eukaryota; Viridiplantae; Streptophyta; Magnoliopsida; Poales; Poaceae. The record is from RNAcentral.